Molecule: long non-coding RNA, 2212 nt
Organism: Cololabis saira (Pacific saury)
Lineage: Eukaryota; Metazoa; Chordata; Actinopteri; Beloniformes; Belonidae
Exons: 2
Source: RefSeq, a predicted model, not a curated record
AGGCCCCGCCCCCUCAGGCCCCGCCCCCUCAGGACGUUGCUAUGGAAACCCAGGAUGUUCAAGCUCCGGCCUUAUAUUAACUUCUUCUCAGCACUCGCACUUGGCUUGGACCGCCUUACGGGACUCUGGAAAGGACUUUUUUCUUCUUCUUCUUCUUCUUCUUCUUCUUUUAUUAUUCUAUCUGGCUCCGCCCCCUUUUGGGGGCGUGGUCAGACUGACGCAAAGCAGGUUCAAAAUGGCUCAAUAAACAGAUGCAGGUUUUAAAGUUUAGGUGAAGGUUUCCUGUCUCAACUUUGCUGGUAAACAUCGCCUUACACAACCGUUGCUGUAGCAACGCCCUUUAUUUUAACUACUGGAGUUAAAUGCAGAUGUUGAAAAACCUUUUUUGAACCAAGGUUUGGGAACGACGUCAUCUAAGGAGGUGGAGUUAAACCUGCAGGAAACAGGAGUCUGCUUUGGUACCCCCUUUACACCAAACCGGUUCCAGGGCUGGUCCGAGGAGACUGCAAGGCACUUAUACACACGAAGAGGAAAGAACUGAGAAUGUGUUUGUGUUUGUUCCUGUAAAACUCUGUCGACGCCUGGGAAUGGUGCAGAACGACAUCGUGCCUGUUAACUUUAGUUUUCAUGUGAUGGAUUAUUCUAGUUCCUUCGGCAGAAACGUUGGAGCCCAGAGGACCUGAACGUUUACAAAGUUUGAGACUUUUGCACAGAAGAGCAGGAUGUUUGUGGCGACGUCACUGCAGGAAACGAGGCCGAGAAACGGCUCCGCCCCCAAAGGAGUGGGGGCGGAGCCACGGCUGCAGCUCCGCCCCCAGAGGAGUGGGGUCGGGGCUUCAGCCACCUCACUUAGGAAAACACGCCUGAUGUCUCCGUGUCGUACGAAAGAGUAUUAGGGCCAGGGAGGAGAAAAAUACAAAUAAUAUUUUAGAGGAGGAAUAUUUUUUUUUUUUUUUUUCAUUAUGCAAGUCAAGAAAAAAGUCGAAUUGUUGAGAAUAAAGUUGAAAUGUCGAGGAAAAAGUUGAAAUUUCGAAAAAAAAAGUCGAAAUGUUGAGAAAAAUAGUCAAAACUUUUCAUUAUACACUACAAUUUCGAGAAAAAAGUUGAAAUUUUGUGAAUAAAGUUGAAUGUCGAUAAAAAAGUUGAAAUGUCGGGAAAAUAGUUGAAAUGUUGAGAAAAAAGGCGAAAUUUCGACUUUAUUCAAUUCAAAUUGGCUUUAUUGGCAUGAAUGGUUUGCAUUGUUGCCGGAAUAAUAUUAUUAUUAUUUAUUAUUAUUAUUAUUAUUAUUAUUAUUAUUAUUAUUAUUAUUCUUGAAAUUGUAUUUCAACAUUAAUCUCGACAUUUUGACUUUUCUCUUGACAUUUCGACUUUUUUCUCGAAGUGCAUAAUGAAAAAAAGAUCUUCCCCUCUCAAAUAUUUUUCCUCCUGCAUGGCCCUGAUACUCUUCCGUCGUGUCGGCCUUCAUGUUUACUGAAAUGUUUGAUCUCAGACUGGAAACGUUGCUGCAGAACCUGAAGCUCUAGCAGGAGCUGCAGCAGCUCCUGGUGGCCGCUGGGGGAACUGCAGGCGGAGCAGGGAGGAGCUGUAACGCCGCUCCGCCAGAUCAGUCGGUGGUUGGUUUAACGUGGUUGUUUAUGGGAUGGUUGGUGGUUUAUUGAUAAAUCAGAAUCCUGAGCCUCAGAGGAAGUUUGAACUCCUGGAGAAUCUGGGUUUGAUUCACGGGAAAUAAGAACAAACGGUUUCUGAAGUAGGAAAGGGACGUUACAGGUUAUUCAGGUUAGUAGCUGCUGGACCAGGACCAGAUCAGGACCAGAUCAGGACCAGCUUCAACCCUGAGUCUCGGUUCCGUCACAGUAUUUUAGCGACGAGCUCUUAGGAUAUGAAACAUUCAGGUGUCUGAGGCUUCAGGGGGGGCAGGUUCAGGUUCUGGUCUGAAACGUACCGGUCCCUCCACGAAGACACUUCUGUCUCCCGUUGACGAGAAGCUCCGGUACUUCAGGGAGGGAUUAUUGUUUUAUUGAAAGUAAAAAGUAAACUGUUGGUUGACCCCAGUUGUUUGUUUCCAUGCUGAGUUGAUGGUGUUAGUCAGAUCUGAAAAUGAGGCUCGCUGAGCAUUUAUUAUUGGCCUUAUUGGACCAGGACAGAACUUCUCUGUCUUUACUUCGGUGCUGCUUACGAAGCUUCUUGAAGAUCAAUAAAACUUUGACAAGAA